ACAUCCAGAGAAUUUAGCAGAGAUGCUUUAGUGCCUUCGGGAACUCUGAGACAGGUGCUGCAUGGCUGUCGUCAGCUCGCGUUGUGAAAUGUUGGGUUAAGUCCCGCAACGAGCGCAACCCUUUAUCCUUUGUUGCCAGCACGUAAUGGUGGGAACUCAAAGGAGACUGCCGGUGAUAAACCGGAGGAAGGUGGGGAUGACGUCAAGUCAUCAUGGCCCUUACGAGUAGGGCUACACACGUGCUACAAUGGCGCAUACAAAGAGAAGCGACCUCGCGAGAGCAAGCGGACCUCAUAAAGUGCGUCGUAGUCCGGAUUGGAGUCUGCAACUCGACUCCAUGAAGUCGGAAUCGCUAGUAAUCGUAAAUCAGAAUGUUACGGUGAAUACGUUCCCGGGCCUUGUACACACCGCCCGUCACACCAUGGGAGUGGGUUGCAAAAGAAGUAGAUAGCUUAACCUUCGGGAGGGCGUUUACCACUUUGUGAUUCAUGACUGGGGUGAAGUCGUAACAAGGUAAGCGUAGUGCU
This 527-nucleotide ribosomal RNA is filed under the name uncultured bacterium. RNAcentral's name for it is "bacterial SSU rRNA". It matches the Rfam family "Bacterial small subunit ribosomal RNA", at positions 984 to 1509 of the family's 1533-position model. The record is from RNAcentral.